UACGGAGGGUGCAAGCGAUGUUCGGAAUCACUGGGCGUAAAGCGCGUGUAGGCGGCCUUCUAAGUCUGAUGUGAAAGCCCGGGGCUCACCCCCGGAAGUGCAUUGGAUACUGGGAGGCUGGAGUACCGGAGAGGAGGGUGGAAUUCCUGGUGUAGCGGUGAAAUGCGUAGAUAUCAGGAGGAACACCGGUGGCGAAGGCGGCCCUCUCGACGGAUAAUCACGCUGAGACGCGACAGCGUGGGGAGCAAACAGG
This 253-nucleotide ribosomal RNA is filed under the name uncultured bacterium. RNAcentral's name for it is "partial 16S ribosomal RNA". It matches the Rfam family "Bacterial small subunit ribosomal RNA", at positions 524 to 776 of the family's 1533-position model. The record is from RNAcentral.